UCGGGCUGCCUUCAUUCAUAAACAAACCGCCAUCGCGAGUGGAUUGGUGCACGAGGCGUAGUUGCACGAUCGCGGUAGGCGCGCGUGUCGUCGCUCCCGCUUCGUGGCGGGGGUGGACCAGACAUCGUCGUCGCGUGUGCGUUCGCUAUUCGUACUUCCGGACCGGCGGCGGGGCGCGAAGACAAGGAAUAUCCCAUACCUACAACUCCGGCCGUAUCCGGAUUCCGCGUGUGAAUGUGCAUGAAAGAAAAUACACAAGACGGAAAACAUGGCUUGAAGAUAACGCAGCUCGAACCUAAACAAACCCUUCGAUUGUUGUGAACAUAAGUGCUAGUAAGAUAAGAAUGAUAAUAAGGAUAAUGUGUUGCUAGAAUGUAAUUAUUUUAUUUCUGUACUAAUAUUAUACGGUUAUUCCCGCUGUUUGCCCUGGCAGGAGCAAUUAUCGCCAAUGAUCAUUUUGAGAACUAGCGGCCAGCGGAUAUACAUCGUUAAUUUGAAAAAUUUUCGGUGUUCUCCCAGACAAUGAAUCCGAAGACAUUCUAAAUCGAUUAUCUUCGCCCCCGGAGGAAACCGUGACGAACUAGCAGCAGCGCGAACCAAUCGAAAACGAACGGAUCAAGAGCCCGCCAAUAGCAAAAAUGGGAACGUAUUCUUGAACCGUAAUGCUCGUUUUCGGCGGGUUUGCAUCGCAACAGCUACAAGUACCACAUGAAGUCAUCCCGCUCCGGUUUGGAAGGUCAUGCGGAGAAUAGCCACACCUAGUUCUAUCCGAGGGUCAUUCGGUUGAUCUAAGGAUGGAAUCUCCAACUCAUCACUUCGACACGUGAUAUUUGUUUUUGUUCAAACCAAUUUCUAUAAGAAAAUCACAAAACUGUUAUAUAUUACUAUUUUUAUAAAUCACAAAGUUUCAAAUUAAUUAUGCCUUUUCAAAAGUGUUGAGAUAUAUUCUAUUACAAAUUUUCUUUCGUAGCAUAUUAGGUUUUAUUGAAUUUAGAGAAAGUUUAUGAAACAGUAACAGCCCACUAAAGUGAAAUGAAAGCUAAUAUGUUACUAGAUAUAGUUUGCAGGCAAUCGUUCAAAUGAUCAAGCUUAGAUUUUUCGACUUCAAAAAAAAAACUAUCCAUUGCAACUUCAUCAACUCCAUCUGAUGGAAGUCGAAAAGCAUAAAUUAGAGAGUUUGCGAUUAGAAGUCUAAUGAACGCGAGGAAAGUAUAGAUUGAAAAUCACUUUCCAAACAGUUUAUUUAUUAUGAUAUUGAAGCACAACUGAAAUCUUGUUGAAGCGCAAAAAAUGGAAGGAAAAAAGGUGCAAAAGAAGCGCUAAAGUAGAGAACAAAUACGUACAAUAGGUAGUUGCUUUUCUUCUCUUCCUAAAUCAAUUCUUAUUAACGAUAAUUUAUAUAGUAAUGACGUUUUCUUCUAACCGUGAAAUCAGAUAAUGGUAGAACAUUAUUGCACUGUUUAACUCGAAGCGAGCAAAAGACGCAAAACACAGAAUUUACCGUUUGGCGGGAGACUUCACGGUUUUUGAACAACUCAGUGUUUUCGAGAAAAUGAUUGCUUUCGUUGCAUGUAUAAUUGGCGAGGAACUUUCACAGCAUGAUACACACAUUUGAUGCGAGGAUUUAACAACAAACAAUAACUAUCAAUGCUGUUGAAGUAAACAAAAAGGAACUGAAGGGAGCUAAAUGAUGCUGUUAACUGAAAUUCGAUACGAAUGCCUCUGUAAUUAUUAGAUUGUAACAACAGAAUAGUGAAACAAGAAAAGUCUUAUUAUGGAACUAGAACAAAUAAAUCAUACAACACAUGUUUGUAGGGUAGCUACAGAGAAACCACCAUUCAUACCCCGCAUAGAGUUUAAGAGAGAUUUGAGCAUGAGAAGAUAUAAAAUAAAAGUUUUUAUCAGCUAGCACAA
Molecule: long non-coding RNA, 1914 nt
Organism: Aedes aegypti (yellow fever mosquito)
Lineage: Eukaryota; Metazoa; Arthropoda; Insecta; Diptera; Culicidae
Exons: 3
Source: RefSeq, a predicted model, not a curated record